GGGGCUGGAGCAGCAGCUGGAGCCUGGGUCCAGGGCUGGCGCAGCAGCUGGGGCUAGGUCUGGGGCUGGUCCUGCCAGGGACUAACCAAGAAUGGGCUCCAUUGUGCUAGACACUGCACAAGCACAGAAUAGUAGCUGGUUCCUGCCCCUGAAGAGCUUACAAUCUAAAUAGACAAGACAGAAGAAAGCUCUCUGGAAGGGGAAAUAUCUUUGUUUCAUUCACAUGUACAACACCUUCCUAAUCCCUGACUGAGACCUCCAGGCACCAUCACAAUAACAAUAAUCAUCAUCACCAUCACCACCACAAAGGAAUUUUCAGGUGUCAAGUUUAUAUCUGGAGCACAGCUGUUUUGAAGAUGAAAUCAAAGGGAGGAUCUGGGUCUGAGUGUUUAUCCUUACUGGUGUUCUCAGCAGAAAGGCAAAAGACUAAAUGAUCAUGGAGAAUGAACUACUCUUCCAUCCCCAGAAGUUAUCGCUCCAGCUCAUAGUUGAGCCACAUUGAUGGGAAAGCUUGUACUGCUGGAGCUUUUGCUAAAACAUUUCUACGGAUAAACUGUGGGUUUCACUCCUAACAUUGACAGGCUGCCACGUUUCACUAAAUUAUCUACAGAAAAUAACCUUUGGUCUCAGCAUGUUCUGCAUUUUAGAAGACCAGGGCCUCAUUCUUUCAACCAAAAUUAUCUGUUUGUAUUUCUACCCCAGGGUUUCUGAUAAAUCACAAUUACAUUUGUUAGUGAGUGAACAGGUAAAACAAGAACAUAAAGACACACCUGAGGCACUUGGUCCAGAAACCUCCCUUCCUUCUCUCUACAUGGAGAACACAGAUGCAGCUGGGAGAGAAGACUUUGCAGCCUCCUGCCAUUAUCUAAUCUAUCUAUCCAGUUACCUACUUACCUGCCUUCAUGGCCCUUAUCAUAAUCUGACCUCCUCCCAAGAAUUUUAAAGAAACAAGCAAUAUUAAGGUCCACAUAAAGACAUAGGGAGAUUGAGAAAUAGAGAGUUAGGUAAUGGCAGGAGGCAGUCAGAUACUAUGAUAAUUAAGAAGGGAGAUAAUGGGUAUUAGCUUCUCCAUAUUAAAGUUGCAAGCAACCUCCAUUAUCAAACCUUGUAUUUGUCCCAUUUGUAACCUUACCCUUGGCAAAUCUGUUAGACUUGAAAAUUGCAAGGUUUUUCUGAAACGGUUUAUUAAAUUGACUAAGUAGUUUUAAAGAUUUUAAAAAGGCUUCUUUCUGAAAAAUGUGCAGCUUUGAAUUUUUUCUGCACCUCUUGGUCUGCCCAGCAAAAUCAAUUACACCACAAAAAUUGAAAUGCACUUUGUACAGAUUUUUA
This is a long non-coding RNA of Mauremys reevesii (Reeves's turtle), 1329 nucleotides long. RefSeq lists it as uncharacterized. The transcript has 3 exons. The record is from RefSeq and is a predicted model, not a curated record. NCBI's taxonomy places the organism in Eukaryota, Metazoa, Chordata, Testudines, Geoemydidae.